Podarcis lilfordi (Lilford's wall lizard) is the source of this 303-nucleotide non-coding RNA. NCBI's taxonomy places the organism in Eukaryota, Metazoa, Chordata, Lepidosauria, Squamata, Lacertidae. The record is from the annotation of a GenBank genome assembly.
CUGAUGUGUUAGGUCACCCUAUAAUUCUACAGGGGAAUAUUCUCACUGUAGUGGAGAAGACUGUGGCCUAGGUGGUUGUGCUUAGUCUGCUGCCAAGGUGCUAUCUGUUGAUGGGCAACUUCAGUGCCCCUGCUCUUCCUUCUGUAUCUUUCAGCCAGACCUGGAAUGCCCGGCCAUUCAAAUAGAGGACACCUUCAUACAGAGAACUGUCACCUGUCCACAUCUUAAGCCUCUGACAGCCCUGAAAAUUGACAACUGACUUCUGUAAAAUAGGACACCUGAGCAUCUUAUAUUUGCUCUUCU